CGAUCUCGAAAACCUGUCCCAGUUCGGACUGGAGUCUGCAACCCGACUCCACGAAGUUGGAUUCGCUAGUAAUCGCGCAUCAGCCAUGGCGCGGUGAAUACGUUCCCGGGCCUUGUACACACCGCCCGUCAAGCCAUGGGAGCCGGGGGGCGCCUGAAGUCCGGGACCGCGAGGACCGGCCUAGGGCGAAACUGGUGACUGGGGGCUAAGUCGUAACAAGGUACC
RNAcentral lists this ribosomal RNA (225 nucleotides) under uncultured bacterium. RNAcentral's name for it is "partial 16S ribosomal RNA". It matches the Rfam family "Bacterial small subunit ribosomal RNA", at positions 1269 to 1500 of the family's 1533-position model. The record is from RNAcentral.